RNAcentral lists this long non-coding RNA (5341 nucleotides) under Marmota monax (woodchuck). Lineage: Eukaryota; Metazoa; Chordata; Mammalia; Rodentia; Sciuridae. The record is from RNAcentral.
GUUAUUAGUCACUCAACGGGGACUUACUGGGCAGCUACCAUGAAACAGACCCUGGGCUAAGGACCGGAGAUGAAAGAAACAAAACAAAACAAAACAAAAAACAUUUCUUUCCUUGUGUGAUUCCACACAGUGUACACUAAGCUCCUACUGUGUUGUGUUUUUUUAAUAUUUUGCAUGUCUGACUCACCAUGUUGUAAGCCACUUGAAAGUCCGGACAUAUUUUAGCAUUCGCCAUUCCCAAUGAACUGCCCCAUCUACAAAGAAUUUGGAGUCUGGAAGAGAAAGGACUGAUUGGAGAGCAAUUAAAAUAUCAGUUUCCUAAAUCAAAAUUCAAAGCACCUGGUGCGGUUCUGUAUGGCAUACCAAAGGGAGACUGGGUUGACAGGUUUAAAGCACUCUUCCAGAGAGAACCAACCCAAGUGCACUGUGAUUAGCCCAAGGCAAGGAUUUGCUCCUCCCCUUGGAACAGUUGAAAGGAUCAGGCUGAAGGAAAAUACAUUAGUAUAUUUGGAAAACCUCAGGUCAACUUAGGGGGCUUCUUCAGGAACAGAUGGACAGCGCAAAAAACUCAUGGAGACCACGUGGGCUCUACUUCCAAGGGUAAGAAGUUCAGUCUCAUUCUGUGGGUGUUGAGCAGCUGCUGGAGUUUCUGAACAGGGAAAUGACAACAUGAGAAUAGAAAUUUAAGGUGAAUCACUGAUUAAAGAUGGGUAAGAAACACUGAUUAGAAAGCCAUUGCAAAGACUGAGAAUACCCAAAUGUCCUUCAGAAGGAGACUAAAUAACUAAAUCGAGGUAAGUCCAUCCAGCAGGUAAGUGUAAUAGAAUGAAGCAGCCCUCUAUGUAUAGCUAUGUAAUUAUUUCUAACAUAUAUAGUUAAGUGAAAAACGCAACUGCAGAAUAAUAUAUACGGUAUUCCACCAUUUAUGUAAAAACAGAAUGCAUGUAUUUAUAUAUGCUUAUACAUACACAUAAUUUAUUUCUAAUAUAAUAACCAAGAAACUACAAAAAUAAAUAGACAAGAAACUGAAGCCAGGAGUGGGGGAAGCAGGCAGCUUAGAAGGCAGAGAUGGGAGAGAGAUGUAUUUUGAUUAUGUAUGCUUCUUAAACUUGAAUGGUUGUAUUGUGGACACAUAUUACUAUUCAAAAAAUAAAUAAAAUAAUUUAAGAGGGUAAACUUACUAAAACCAACUUAAGAAUCAGAAAAUCUAAUCUUAAAGCCAGUCAAGAUGUUCAAUCAACACUUGAAAAAUGCCCCCCUUCCCAAUGCACACCUAGCUAACACCAGGCCCAGAAGUUUUUCAGGUAAGUACUUCUAAAAAAGAAAAAAGAGAUGACCCAGAGGGUGUGUGUAAGUGACAGAGGGAGAUUUUUAGCUAAGGUGGUCAGAGACAGUCUCAUAAUAAGGCAACAUUUGAAUAGAGACUUGGGACAUGAGGGAAUCAGUAAUGUAGUAAUCUGGAAAUAUCAGAACAGCAGGUCAAGUGCCCUAAAAAAUGGAGAGUGUUCAAGGAAGAGCAAGGUGUCCAGUAUUCCCUGGACAAGGUAUAGGAGAUGAGGCAGAGAUGUUUCAGAGAGCCAGGUUACACAGGGCCUUUUGGCUACUUUAAGAAUUUUGACUUAACUAGAGAAAGAUGGGAAGAUGUAGAAAUUUUUGAGCAAAGGAGAAGCGAGAUUUCCUUUUAAUUUAAGGAGGAAACAAAAAAGAUCCCUACCUCACAGCAUACACAAAAAAUCAAUAUCAGAUAAGUCAAAGAACUAAAGGAGAAAAAACCCCACAAAAUUAUCAGAAGAAAAUGGGAGAAGUUCAGUAUGAUCUCAAGUUAUAAAAGGCAAGUCAUAGAAAGCAUAACCCAUAAAGGGUUGACAACACUAAAAAUUUUAAAACUUCUGUACAUGAAAAGAAGAAAUAAAGUAAAAAGAUAAGCCACAGGCUGAACUCCAGCUGAAAAAUCAAUAUGGUGAAUUUCACAAACAGUACUUAGAAACCAAAAAAGCAAGCCACAGAAAAUUGCAUACAGUAAAUUUUUUUUCAUGUAAAAUUUAGAAAAAUAAAUAAAUAAAUAUAAGCAAUUUGUUUAGGAAAAGAAAGACAGUAAAACUACUAAGAAAAGCAAGAAUAUGCUAAACACAAGUUUAAGGACAGUAUUUAUCUCUGGUGGAGACAUCAAGAAGGAUUCCAUAGGAGAAAGGUACAAGAUUAUAAAUAAUACUCUAAUAAAUUAUUGUUGGUACAUGGGGUACAGAUUCAUCCAUACACACACAAAUAUACAUACAAUCUUUGAGAAUAAUUAAAAAAUUUAAAGGCAACAAGUGUGAUGGAAUCCUUAAUCCUGGAAUUCAGAUCACUAAAAAACAUACUAGCACUUUUAUAAUUAUAAAACUUGCUAUAAAUGCGAGAUAGUCUAUUACUGUUAACUAAGUCAUUAUGUCAAAUUGAUCUUUCUUUUUUUAAAAAAAUAUUUUUUCAUUGUAGUUGGACACAAUACCUUCAUUUUAUUUAUUUAUUUUUUAUGUGGUGCUGAGGAUCAAACCCAGGGUCUCGCACAUGCUAGGCGAGCACUCUACUGCUGAGCCACAACUCUAGCCCCUCAAAUUGAUCUUUCAAAGAUCCAGUCUUGAAAAUCUGUGAGAAUCCAUUUCUGAAUUUCCCUCUCAUUUUCCUGAUACUCUAGUUUUCUUUUCCCCUCAGCUACAUGAAGUAUAUUACAUAGGGAUAUGUGUGUGUGUGUGUGUGUGUGUGUGACUGUGUGUGUGAAUAAAUUUAGAAGGGCCAGACCUAAGUGAGGUCUCCUACCACUGUUGGGUUUUCAGUUGACGCAAACAGGCAUCUACUUUCCCUUUCUAUUACUAUCUGGGUUCCUUGGGAGAACUCCAUCCCCCAAUCUUGGAAUGCUGACCCUCAAUGAGAAGGAUUAAUUAAAACAUUAUCAGGCUCACUUAAAUUGCAAUUAACAGAAGAUGUUCUUUUUUAGAUCAUUUAGAUUUAUUUCAUAAGCUGGUUGCCCAAAAGCUGCUCUGCUGGCACUCUUACAGAAUAAUUUAAAAAAAAAUACACAAAUUAGGCUGGAGAUGUGGCUCAAGCAGUAGCGCACUCGCCUGGUAUGCGAGCGGCCCCAGUUUGAUCCUCAGCACCACAUACAAACAAAAAUGUUGUGUCCGCUGAAAACUAAAAAAUAAAUAUUAAAAAAACUCUCUCUCUCUUUAAAAAAAAAAUACACAAAUUAAAUAGCGCAAGAGCAAACUCCCUAGAAAAGAAAGAAAACAAGCAGUGCUCAUCACCAUCUGGCUCUUUUUUGGGGGGAUGUAGGACCCAAGGGGAAAAUAGACCUCCUUUUGUAUGGAGGUAAUGCCAAUGUCUAGGUUUUGAAAAUCCAGAGGUUGGGGGAGGGGGAUGAACAGAAAGACUGUCUAACAAUUCUCUGUCUCUAAUGAUACUUUCAGAAGCCUCUCUCUGUAGAAAGUAGUGAAAAAUAUUACACUGUUAAAGUAACAAAUACAGUUGGAACAAUAAGGAAUAUAAAGGUUCACACCUAGGGCAUGAAAUAAGAAUUUUCCCCCCAAGUGUAAGGAGCACGAGGCAACAUCUGCUAAGCCCCAAAGAACUGGAGCAGGCCUAAAGUUUGGAAUAUUGGGAUAAGGCUUCAUAAAGUGGUGGAGUACACAUGACUUUUGUGGUUUUGUCUACCCGGCAUCCAGCCCCUUAUUCUGGAAACAGCACCUAGAUUUUCUUUGAGGUCCUGUAGCUCUACUCUUGUUAACCCAAGUUGUUUAGGUGAGGCAGACCACUCCCUAUCUCAGGCUCCAAGGAGAGGGCAAGAUCUAGCUUUGGCUGAUCAGUUAUUGUGAUGUGUGCAGGGAGGAGCAUACAACCUAGUCAGAGCCAAUCAGAGUCACCCGAGUUUUGGUGGAGGUGCUGGCAAAGAGCUAUACCCUUGAGUGGGCAUUGCUAAGCUGGGACAAUGUAAGCCUGCUGUCAUGUUUGACAUCCUUGCUACCAUACAGAUAGCCUCCCUGUGAAAACACAGUCAUGAAAUGAAGCAAGAUUCCUUAAUGAAUUGUUAGAGCACCAGAGCCAGACUUUUCCGUUACUUAUUGCUACACAACAAACAACCCUAUAAGGCAUUAGCAUACAACAAUAACUAGCAUUCAUUUGCUCAGGAUUCUGCAGUUGGCAGCCCUCCAAAGGAGAUGGCUUUUCUCCGCGCCAUGUGGUACUGCUGGGGUUGGAGUGUGCAAGCUGGCUUCAUUCACAUGUCAGUUCCUAUACGAAUGGAGUAGUUGUAAUGCCUGGACUAGCCAGGCCUCUAUCCCUAUUUUUAUAUGUUUAAAAAUUAAAUGUUUUUAUAUUAUAUAGUCUCUUAGAUUCCAGGGGUCCCCUCUCUCCAUCAGGGUAGUUGGACUCCUUUACACGGAGGCUGGCUUCCAAGAAAGCAAAACCCAAAGCUGUCAGAUCUCUCUCAGCCUAGCCCAUAACUGGCAGGCAGUAUCACUUUCAUCACAUUCUAUUGGUCCAGAGGAGACAAAAACUGCUUGCAUAUAGGGAUGAGAGAAACUGCUGGCUAUCAUCUUGAUAGUGGAUCCAUCAUGCCAGCCCUGCCUAGACCCUCCUUUCAGUGAUACGAAACAGUAUAUUUCUUUUUCUUUUUUUUUGUUUAGGCUCGUUUAGAGAUGGAGUUUUGUCUCCAGUAACCUGAAGCAUCCUGACCAAUACAACAUCUCGUGCUAGGUAUGGGCAAAGACAGGACAAAGGGCAGCAUUUCAAGAGAAGGCAAGAACUCUGGACAGCAUGAAUAGAGGGACAGAGAAUUCCAGCGGGGGUCUGGAGUUUCCUCAGCCACUAACUACAACCUUCACUGGUCUCCAUGCCAGAUGACCUCCUGUGAGCUGUUAAACUAAUUGUAGUAUGUACUACUCACUUUAAUACAAAAGCUAUGUUAUUUAAAUAUUUCAGGUGAUAAUUUCUAUGUGCUCCCUCCCACAAAAUGCAGGUUACCUGAAGGAAAGGACUAUGCCUUCCAGGUUAGUGUGUAUAUUCCUGACAGUCCUCAACACAGUAUUCAAGACUUACUUGAUGAAUGAACGAAUGGAUGAAUAAGUUUGAAUUAAACAUUUAUUAAAUAUCUCCUUAUUUUCUAGAUAUUGAAGUUUUAUAAAGUGACUAAGAUGUAAGCAAAAGAUAGCUUUUGCCCUGACACGGAUGGAAUGAAUAAUAUAUAAUGAUAAAAACUUGCUGAAUGAUGAGUGUUGUCAAUUUUCAGAUAUUGAGUAGUUAUUGAAGUUUCUGAAGUCGGUUAUUUAUUAAGCUCCUUUAAUGUGACAGGCUCUGUUCCUGAUUCUGG